Molecule: ribosomal RNA, 467 nt
Filed under: uncultured bacterium
Lineage: Bacteria
Description: partial 16S ribosomal RNA
Rfam family: Bacterial small subunit ribosomal RNA
Source: RNAcentral
GACGAACGCUGGCGGCGUGCUUAACACAUGCAAGUCGAACGGAAAGGCCCUGCUUUUGUGGGGUGCUCGAGUGGCGAACGGGUGAGUAACACGUGAGUAACCUGCCCUUGACUUUGGGAUAACUUCAGGAAACUGGGGCUAAUACCGGAUAGGAGCUCCUGCUGCAUGGUGGGGGUUGGAAAGUUUCGGCGGUUGGGGAUGGACUCGCGGCUUAUCAGCUUGUUGGUGGGGUAGUGGCUUACCAAGGCUUUGACGGGUAGCCGGCCUGAGAGGGUGACCGGCACAUUGGGACUGAGAUACGGCCCAGACUCCUACGGGAGGCAGCAGUGGGGAAUAUUGCACAAUGGGCGGAAGCCUGAUGCAGCAACGCCGCGUGCGGGAUGACGGCCUUCAGGUUGUAAACCGCUUUCGCCUGUGACGAAGCGUGAGUGACGGUAAUGGGUAAAGAAGCACCGGCUAACUACGUG